CAGAGUUGCAAAACUCCCACUAAACCAUCGCUGAAUCGUUACCCUAACCGGUUGCCUUCGGCGCUGGCGGUCCCGGAGGUCUCCUCGGGCGCCCCCCUUGGGCUCCCCAUCGCGGGAGGCUGCCCGCCGGAAGUGCCUAUCAAACUCUUGAUACUUUAUGGCCUCUCUGAGUACUUGUAAAUAAGUCA
This 188-nucleotide unclassified non-coding RNA is filed under the name soil metagenome. RNAcentral's name for it is "partial internal transcribed spacer 1". The record is from RNAcentral.